This is a long non-coding RNA of Drosophila subpulchrella, 1580 nucleotides long. RefSeq lists it as uncharacterized. The record is from RefSeq and is a predicted model, not a curated record. Lineage: Eukaryota; Metazoa; Arthropoda; Insecta; Diptera; Drosophilidae. The transcript is spliced from 2 exons.
UAUUGAACGGUUGAACUCGCUGAUUAAUAAGUUCUCAUAUCCUUCCAGUCCUGUUUUAUAUUUCUCAUCUGCAGUGGUCGGGCUCAUCCUACUUGUAGGUUUCUGAUAGCUGCAUGUAUAUAAUUCGAUUUUGGGCUUUUAGAAUUGUAGAGCAAUGAUAGAAUAAUUCGACGAAGAGAGCUAAGUGAAAUAAAUUUAUCAGCUUUACUUGCGGAAGAAUAUGAUCCAUGAAUACAUCUGAGAGGGCUUUAAGCGGCUGCAGCUACGUCCGCUGCUGAUGUUGAUGGCAGUUUCAUAUUUGAUGGUAAAGUUAGAGUUGUUUCUUUGAGCGAAAUAAAUCAGAUAAUCGCAUUAUUAUUACUAGUUAGACAUUAGAAUUCCUUAUUCGUGAUUUAACUAAAGUACGUGGUGAAACAUUUUAUGAGGCUGGAAAAAAUGUUAUAAUUUCACGAAGCGAUCUUUUAAGUCCCAGCUUCUCUAAUUUUGUUUUUCCCUUCGGGGCAUUAAAAAAACGAUUUUUAUUUUAGUAUUCAAUGGAGUUUUUAUAGGUAGAUCCCCAAUGUGAAACUGAUUUUACAAAAUGCAUUAUUCUUAUAACAAGUGGACUUUGAUCAGAAGAUUUUGUUGGCCAAAACUAAGGACUAAUGAUAGAUUGGUCAAAGCUAUUAUGGUGAUGUAUGGGCUUACAGGCUGGACCCUUUGCUUAAAAGUUUGAAAAAUGUUUGUGUAUGCCGUCGUCAAUAAGGGCGUGUGAAAAGCUUUGAUUAUACGCUUUCCAUUUUCAUAUUGUCCCUGUCAUCAUUAUUUACUUUUUCGUAGUGAAUGUUUCAAUUUUCACUGUCAAGGAGAAGAAUUUAUGCUCGCACUCAGAUGAGCUAAGGAAAUACCAGAAUAAAUAACAGAUUUAGCGAGUGAAUUUCGACGAACGCCGUUAGCCGCGUCCCAAAGAGUAAGAGAUUUAAUCUUGGCGGUGUUUCGUGCAAAGGCGUGUGGAAACUAAGAAUUAAAAAUGGAAGGAAAUCCCCAAAAACGCCUGCAGGAGGUCAGUGCAGAUGAAAAAUGACUUCUAAUCCAAGGUGUUGCCCAUUAUUGUGAAACUUGACCAACAAGAAGCAUUACCACAGCAGGGCAAAUCCGCAGAAUAAAUGACGGGCUGGAGGAGAUCCACUACAGAAUCCCAUUGGGAAGAAACAUGCCGAAAUAAUAGAAGUAUAUUUUUAGCAGAACCACCAGUAAUGCGAUCAACGACUAGCUAACCACAGGAUUCCCCCUACACCAGCUACUUAACAGCUAAAGCGGAGAAAGAGGACGCGCCGGCUUCUAUAGGGAAGAAGAAAAAAGGGCGUCCGGUAUGGGACAGCUGGACCAUGACCAGGAUGCUGGGCGACUUCCUGCAGCAUCAGACGGAACAACCCCGUUCCCAAUCCGGCUCUUCCUUUCUUAAGGUCCAAUAUACCUAUUGGGAUUCCGAGCAGGACUGAAGAUCGCGCGGGGAAGAUGGCUAUGAAUCCGUGGGAAGAGAAGGAAGCUUCAAACUACUAAUUUACAUAAAUAAAAACAUUCGUUGAACAUUGCCUUUA